GGAGAGCUUGCUCUCUGGGUGACGAGUGGCGGACGGGUGAGUAAUGCAUGGGGAGCUGCCCAAUCGAGGGGGAUACCAGCUGGAAACGGCUGCUAAUACCGCAUACGCCCUGAGGGGGAAAGGUGGGGACCCUCGAGCCUACCGCGAUUGGAUGCACCCAUGUGGGAUUAGCUAGUUGGUGAGGUAACGGCUCACCAAGGCGACGAUCUCUAGCUGGUCUGAGAGGAUGACCAGCCACACUGGAACUGAGACACGGUCCAGACUCCUACGGGAGGCAGCAGUGGGGAAUAUUGCACAAUGGGGGAAACCCUGAUGCAGCCAUGCCGCGUGUGUGAAGAAGGCCUUCGGGUUGUAAAGCACUUUCAGUAGGGAGGAAGGGUUGAUGUCUAAUACGCAUCAGCAUUGACGUUACCUACAGAAGAAGCACCGGCUAACUCCGUGCCAGCAGCCGCGGUAAUACGGAGGGUGCAAGCGUUAAUCGGAAUAACUGGGCGUAAAGCGCACGCAGGCGGUUGGAUAAGUCAGAUGUGAAAUCCCCGGGCUCAACCUGGGAACUGCAUUUGAAACUGUCUGACUAGAGUCUUGUAGAGGGGGGUAGAAUUCCAGGUGUAGCGGUGAAAUGCGUAGAGAUCUGGAGGAAUACCGGUGGCGAAGGCGGCCCCCUGGACAAAGACUGACGCUCAGGUGCGAAAGCGUGGGGAGCAAACAGGACUAGAUACCCUGGUAGUCCACGCUGUAAACGAUGUCGAUUUGGAGUUUGUGCCAUUAUGAGC
This 773-nucleotide ribosomal RNA is filed under the name uncultured Gammaproteobacteria bacterium. Its description in RNAcentral is "bacterial SSU rRNA". It matches the Rfam family "Bacterial small subunit ribosomal RNA", at positions 73 to 838 of the family's 1533-position model. Lineage: Bacteria; Pseudomonadati; Pseudomonadota; Gammaproteobacteria. The record is from RNAcentral.